Long non-coding RNA from Helicoverpa zea (corn earworm), 242 nucleotides. RefSeq lists it as uncharacterized. The transcript is spliced from 2 exons. Lineage: Eukaryota; Metazoa; Arthropoda; Insecta; Lepidoptera; Noctuidae. The record is from RefSeq and is a predicted model, not a curated record.
UGGGGCAAAAAGGGCGUAAAACUAAGCGCCCGCAGGAAGAAGCUCAAAAGAUCAGCGAGAGGAUAUUUCAUGAAUAAAGAAAAUAUUCCUCCAGUGCAUGAUACGUUCCAACAAUCACUUCAAGAAGCAAUUUCGCCGCCUUUGUCGCAUUUGCCGCAAACACCGCGGUCGGCGUUUUUGAGAAUGUAAACAAACAGAAGAAAGCAACCUUAUUUCUAAAGGAAUAAAGUAUUAUUUUUAUA